GCUGAGGGCCGGAAGAGGAAACACCACGGAUGAAGAAGCCUUUUCAGGUGCCCCAGGGACUUGGUUUCUGUCCACCUGGAGAUGCACGGUCAUCUGCCUCCAGGAAUAACUAAUGGGAACGUGGAGCCAGAGGACACUUCUGAGGAGCAGGCUGGUCGUCUGCCCAGUACCCACUGUGUUGCCUGCUUCUGCAGGACACUGACCUGAGCCCUUUCCCUAGAAGCAGCACCACACAGAAAGACAGCACCAACCUCUCCCCCACAGGACUCUUCUGAGAGGUCCCUCUAGGCUCUAUCCAAGACCAGAGAUCAGGAUGUAGCUCUCAGCUGCCACUCCUGUGCCACGCCAUGCCAUGCCAUGCCUGCCUGGCGCUGUGCUCCCCGCCAUGUUCAUGGACUCACCCUCUGAAACUAUAACCAACCCUCCAAUUAAAUGCUUUCUUCUUUGAGUCACCUUUGUCACCGUGUCUCUUCACGGCAAUAAAACAGUAAUU
Long non-coding RNA from Psammomys obesus (fat sand rat), 493 nucleotides. RefSeq lists it as uncharacterized. The transcript is spliced from 3 exons. NCBI's taxonomy places the organism in Eukaryota, Metazoa, Chordata, Mammalia, Rodentia, Muridae. The record is from RefSeq and is a predicted model, not a curated record.